Molecule: non-coding RNA, 561 nt
Organism: Nicotiana tabacum (common tobacco)
Lineage: Eukaryota; Viridiplantae; Streptophyta; Magnoliopsida; Solanales; Solanaceae
Source: RefSeq, a predicted model, not a curated record
GAAAAUUCUUUUCUUUUGUUUUUGCUCAGACUGGAGAGAUUUGCCUUGAUAUUUUGAAGAAUGCAUGGAGCCCAGCAUGGACACUCCAGUCUGUUUGUCGAGCUAUAAUUGCUUUGAUGGCUCACCCCGAAGCUGAUAGUCCACUAAACUGUGACUCAGGCAAUCUUCUUCGGUCUGGUGAUAUCAGAGGAUAUCAGUCGAUGGCAAGGAUGUACACUAGACUUGCAGCAAUGCCCAAGAAGGGUUGAAAACGACGAGCUUGUAAUAAUGGCAUUAACAAAAGUUGAAUCAUUGCGCAUCUGUUUAGUGUUUUCUAACUACUGUGCAUGAACUAUUGUGUAUUAAUUUUUUGUUUUUUCGCAGCGAUUUCUGGUAACAACUACUCAUCACUCUAGCAGGUUUCUUGUGCACCUUUAGCAAGUGGAAUAUGUUUAAAUCAUCUUGAUUUUUGCACCUUUCAGAAAGAAUGCUUGGAUAGCUGAUUUAGAUUGUUCGUUGUUGUAACACUAUGUUCCACAUUGAUACUACCUCAGGAUGACAAUGUCUUGUGCUUGUGAUUUU